This 253-nucleotide ribosomal RNA is filed under the name uncultured bacterium. RNAcentral describes it as "partial 16S ribosomal RNA". It matches the Rfam family "Bacterial small subunit ribosomal RNA", at positions 524 to 776 of the family's 1533-position model. The record is from RNAcentral.
UACAGAGGGUGCGAGCGUUAAUCGGAAUUACUGGGCGUAAAGCGCGCGUAGGCGGCUUUUCAAGUCGAUUGUGAAAUCCCCGGGCUUAACCUGGGAACUGCAGUCGAGACUGUCUAGCUAGAGUAUGGGAGAGGGAAGUGGAAUUUCAGGUGUAGCGGUGAAAUUCGUAGAUAUUCGCAAGAACACCAGUGGCGAAGGCGGCUCACUGGCCCGAUACUGACGCUGAGGCACGAAAGCGUGGGGAGCAAACAGG